Phyllostomus discolor (pale spear-nosed bat) is the source of this 153-nucleotide long non-coding RNA. RefSeq lists it as uncharacterized. Lineage: Eukaryota; Metazoa; Chordata; Mammalia; Chiroptera; Phyllostomidae. The transcript has 3 exons. The record is from RefSeq and is a predicted model, not a curated record.
AUUCCCAGUUGGGCACAUAGAAAGCAUGUGCUUAACAUUAAAACCAAACCCACACAAAAGCCCGUACACUUUAACAACUCAAAAAUCACAACCACUUACCUCAGAACUUGAUAACUCUUUCACUCGGGGAGACUAAAAGAAAUACAAAAACAG